Molecule: ribosomal RNA, 409 nt
Filed under: uncultured bacterium
Lineage: Bacteria
Description: bacterial SSU rRNA
Rfam family: Bacterial small subunit ribosomal RNA
Source: RNAcentral
UGACAAUGGGCGAAAGCCUGAUGCAGCAACGCCGCGUGAGUGAUGAAGGCCUUCGGGUCGUAAAGCUCUGUCCUCAAGGAAGAUAAUGACGGUACUUGAGGAGGAAGCCCCGGCUAACUACGUGCCAGCAGCCGCGGUAAUACGUAGGGGGCUAGCGUUAUCCGGAAUUACUGGGCGUAAAGGGUGCGUAGGUGGUUUCUUAAGUCAGAGGUGAAAGGCUACGGCUCAACCGUAGUAAGCCUUUGAAACUGGGAAACUUGAGUGCAGGAGAGGAGAGUGGAAUUCCUAGUGUAGCGGUGAAAUGCGUAGAUAUUAGGAGGAACACCAGUUGCGAAGGCGGCUCUCUGGACUGUAACUGACACUGAGGCACGAAAGCGUGGGGAGCAAACAGGAUUAGAUACCCUGGUAG